[Clostridium] clostridioforme 90A6 is the source of this 115-nucleotide non-coding RNA. NCBI's taxonomy places the organism in Bacteria, Bacillati, Bacillota, Clostridia, Lachnospirales, Lachnospiraceae. The record is from Rfam.
AAGCGUUGAAGUAUAACAGCGUACCGGAAAGCCUUGUUAUACAGAGCUUUCGAGAGGGGUUGUGCAGUGAAACCUCAAACCGGAGUAGGUGUUUUACCGAAAGAAAAUGCUCAAA